CAGGCAGGCGCGAUGCUCGGCACGGGUGCAGGCAGCCUUGCGGGGUGUAACAGGACCUGGUUUUGGCAGGAUGGAGGUGACAGACACGGAUGCUAUGCCCAGAGAUGUGCUGGUGGCCAGAACGUUAUUGUUAAUCACGAUUUGGUAUUUAGGCAGCAGGAAGGUGCCUCUAAGAUAGAGAGCGAGCUGUGAUGGAGCUGGUGGUGUUAAUGUUCUGCAGCAGGAGUGAAAUAGCCUGGAGAUGUGCAGCAAGAGCAGGGGCGUGUGCCCUAAAUAGGAGGGUUAAACAGGGCUUAUUCUGAGGAAAGCAGUAAUUGCAGCUUGCGUGAAGCAGUAAUAUUCUUUUGUGCAUUAUUUACCCAGGAACAUCUGCUAAUACAUAUACAUUCUCCGGUGCGUGUAAACAACUUGUGCAGGAAGAGGAUUAGGAGAUUUAUAAAAAAAUUAGAAGGAAGUUAAAAGGGCAAUUAGAAGAGCAGAAAGAGAUAUUGAGCAGUGAAUUAGGGAGGAUAUUUUAACACACAAUCAGAGCUUCCCGAGACGUAUUCAGAGCAGAGAGAAGGUAAAAGAGAAAAUUGGCCAAUUACGACAUGAUAGCAGGGAAUUGGUGACAUGGGAGAAGGUAAUGGCUGAUUUGUUAAACAGUUAUUUUGAUUCUGUUUUCACAAAGGAGGAAGAGGAUGGAGGGCAGCUCUGGAAAGGACUCGGGUUGUGGGGAUUGAGGGUGGGGAUGAGCCGAGGAGCCUGCAGAGAGAUAAAGAUGCGUCUGCAGAGUGGCUGGGCGUGGGGAGAAGUUCACCCAUAUUCAUGGGGUGGGGAAAAAAAUGGAUUUUAGUGAGCGGUUCCUUACAGCAAUGAGCCGGGUAGCAAGGGACUUGCGUUAUAACACUUGCUUUUGUUCGCCUAAUUGGCUGCCGUUGAGCGGGGACCGGGGACUGAGGUGGUCACUGAGAUGAAAGAUCCUUCUCCCCUUUGAAGGCCAUUUCUCCGGGAGAGGGGAGGAUCAAGUGUAUUGGGAGAGAGCGAGAUGGAUGGAGACUCUGGAGGGGUGCUGCUCCUGGGGCUGCUUUUAUGUGGGUAGAGAGGUGGUUUGGCUCGCCAGCGAUGCCAGCGUGACACCUUCCCAAAAAUACACAUUGCAAAACGUGAGCACCGCUGCAGUCCUCCGUGGCCUGUUUUCGUAGUUGCUUUUGCUUCCAUCUGUAACCCACGAACUCCGACACGGUCAGCCAUACAAGAGCAUCCCUGCAAUCACCGUUCCCAUCGGCAUCGUCUGGUGUCGGCGAUCUCGUGUUUCACCAAAGCAGUCGUGAGCCCGGGGGCUGCUGGAUGCGUCAAGGGAGAGAAGAGGGCUGGUGCAACAGAGGAAUGAUGUCAACCUACAAGACCUCAAGGAGACAGUAAGCGAUGGAAAGGGAAAUAUUCUUGGUCAUGCAAUGGGAAAUGGGAUCUUGGGAAAUCGGAUCUCGGGAAGUGUUCCCGGGGGUGUGGCUGAAGCUAGAACAGGGAAAGCAUACACAAACGGAGGAUUUAGGGAAGGUUGAACUUGAAGGACCACAAAAAGUGUUAUUUAGCUUACAAGAAAUGUGAAGCGAUGCUUUUGUUCUGCUCUGUCUCUCCGAAGCAGGGUACGUGUUGCAGAGCAACUUUGAGACAAAGGAAAUAAUUUGGAUUUGGUGCUGGUGGGGGAGGGCACAAGUGUUGUCUGGGAAGCAAUGGGGAAUAUAAGAGAAACUGCAGACUUGUGGUCUUGGUUUAGACUGAUAAACUAAAAAUUUAUUCUCAAUA
Long non-coding RNA from Aquila chrysaetos chrysaetos, 1788 nucleotides. RefSeq lists it as uncharacterized. The record is from RefSeq and is a predicted model, not a curated record. The transcript is spliced from 2 exons. Lineage: Eukaryota; Metazoa; Chordata; Aves; Accipitriformes; Accipitridae.